This 253-nucleotide ribosomal RNA is filed under the name uncultured bacterium. Its description in RNAcentral is "partial 16S ribosomal RNA". It matches the Rfam family "Bacterial small subunit ribosomal RNA", at positions 524 to 776 of the family's 1533-position model. The record is from RNAcentral.
UACAGAGGGGGCAAGCGUUGUCCGGAUUUACUGGGCGUAAAGAGCGCGCAGGCGGUCGUUCAAGUCGAGUGUGAAAGCCCCCGGCUCAACUGGGGAGGGUCACUCGAUACUGAUCGACUUGAAGGCAGGAGAGGGAAGCGGAAUUCCCGGUGUAGUGGUGAAAUGCGUAGAUAUCGGGAGGAACACCAGUGGCGAAGGCGGCUUCCUGGCCUGUUCUUGACGCUGAGGCGCGAAAGCUAGGGGAGCAAACGGG